RNAcentral lists this ribosomal RNA (440 nucleotides) under uncultured bacterium. Its description in RNAcentral is "partial 16S ribosomal RNA". It matches the Rfam family "Bacterial small subunit ribosomal RNA", at positions 338 to 795 of the family's 1533-position model. The record is from RNAcentral.
CCUACGGGAGGCAGCAGUGGGGAAUAUUGCACAAUGGGGGAAACCCUGAUGCAGCGCCGCCGCGUGAGUGACGAAGGAAUUCGUUAUGUAAAGCUCUAUCAGCAGGGAAGAAAAUGACGGUACCUGAGUAAGAAGCCCCGGCUAACUACGUGCCAGCAGCCGCGGUAAUACGUCGGGGGCAAGCGUUAUCCGGAUUUACUGGGUGUAAGGGGAGCGUAGACGGCAGUGCAAGUCUGGAGUGAAAGGCUGGGGCUCAACCCCCGGACUGCUCUGGAAACUGUACGGCUGGAGUGCAGGAGAGGUAAGUGGAAUUCCUAGUGUAGCGGUGAAAUGCGUAGAUAUUAGGAGGAACACCAGUGGCGAAGGCGGCUUACUGGACUGUAACUGACGUUGAGGCUCGAAAGCGUGGGGAGCAAACAGGAUUAGAUACCCCGGUAGUC